CUUGGCGACCAUAGCGUUUUGGACCCACCUGACUUCCAUGCCGAACUCAGAAGUGAAACGAAAUAGCGCCGAUGGUAGUGUGGGGCU
RNAcentral lists this ribosomal RNA (87 nucleotides) under Vibrio diabolicus. The record is from RNAcentral. Lineage: Bacteria; Pseudomonadati; Pseudomonadota; Gammaproteobacteria; Vibrionales; Vibrionaceae.